RNAcentral lists this non-coding RNA (176 nucleotides) under Acinetobacter pittii. Its description in RNAcentral is "Acinetobacter sRNA 28". It matches the Rfam family "Acinetobacter sRNA 28". From Rfam's summary of the family: AbsR25 sRNA could play role in the efflux pump regulation and drug resistance. Lineage: Bacteria; Pseudomonadati; Pseudomonadota; Gammaproteobacteria; Moraxellales; Moraxellaceae. The record is from RNAcentral.
GAUUUUCAACGGCACUUUUAAAUAAGGAGGACAUCAUGCCAUUAGUACAAGGUAAAACAGAUUAAAUAAUUUGGCACGAUGUCAGCUCACGGACAAGUGUACAAAUUCACACCACUUGUCCGAAUGCUUAAACUUAGAACCUAGCAUUCGCUAGGUUUUUUUAUGCCUAUUCGGAC